RNAcentral lists this long non-coding RNA (1073 nucleotides) under Homo sapiens (human). RNAcentral's name for it is "HSALNT0212036". The record is from RNAcentral. Lineage: Eukaryota; Metazoa; Chordata; Mammalia; Primates; Hominidae.
AAGACAUUCACUACACCAGAGGAGACAAAGGAAGCACGUUGCUGUUAUUGCUGUUCAUGGCCUUCUUCCAACAGUAAGGGAAGCUAGUUUGAAGAUAAACUGUACAAAGGAAAGUAAAACAAGAGAAGUGCAGCGAAAUGGUGCCGGAGCCGUGAUGCAGCUACAACCUAGAGUUCUCACAAUCUCUUAAUUUCCUGCUGUCGGCGAUAAAUGUGAUCAUUUUGGCCGAUUUGGUUCAGUUUUUCUGUUCCGUGAAGCUGAAAGCAUCCUGACACAGGGCACACAAUGCUGUUGAAGCCAUCAGAGUACCAGGAUGCUGAUCUCCACGGCAAGUGCCUGAGCAGAGGGAGCUCAGUGAAGAGGAACUGCUCCAGCACUACACAGGCAUUCUUGGUAGCUGGACAGUACUGGACCCAUCACAAUUUCAAUACUGGGAAGAGAAAAGCCAGUCCUCUGGGGAAAGAUGAAGCACUGGACCUACAAACUAACUACUUUCAACCCCUGGAUGAAUCUAGGAGCAGAUUAGUCCCGAUAUCAAGGCAAUGUCAAGAGUGAAGGGGAGGAUCAAGAUUUUUUUUGAGUGAUUGUUUCCUGGAAGGAGUAUUAAAGAGAGGCACAGAAGAAUGCUUCUGCAUAGGACAUGAAAACAUACUUGGUAAUCAGCGAUCAUGUGGUAGCAGCCACACUGUUUAAGAUCAUGGAUCAGAAAUGUCUUUAAGAUGUCAAACAAAUGAAAAACAAAAACAAACAUUUCAUGGUCAUGGACAGGAAAAUCAAUAUUGUUAAAAUGGCCAUACACCCCAAAGCAAUUUAUACAUUCAGUGCUAUUCCUACCAAUGGCAUUUCUCACGGAAUUAGGAAACACAAUUUUAAAAUUCAUAUGGUACCAAACAAGAGCCUGAAUAACCAAAGCAAUCCUAAGCAAAAAGAAGAAAGCUGAAAGUAUCACACUACCCAACUUCAAACUAUACUACAAGACUACAGUAACCAAAACAGCAUGGUACUGUUACAGAACUAGACACAUAGACCAAUGGAACAGAACAGGGAAUUAACUCCCUAUUCAAUAAAUGGUG